UACGAGCCGUCCUAACGUUAUUCGGAAUCACUGGGCUUAAAGGGUGCGUAGGCGGUCCGGUAAGUUGGGUGUGAAAUCCCUCGGCUCAACCGAGGAAUUGCGCCCAAAACUGUCGGACUCGAGGGAGACAGAGGUGAGUGGAACUUAGGGUGGAGCGGUGAAAUGCGUUGAUAUCCUAAGGAACACCGGUGGCGAAAGCGACUCACUGGGUCUUUUCUGACGCUGAGGCACGAAAGCUAGGGUAGCAAAC
This 250-nucleotide ribosomal RNA is filed under the name uncultured bacterium. Its description in RNAcentral is "partial 16S ribosomal RNA". It matches the Rfam family "Bacterial small subunit ribosomal RNA", at positions 524 to 773 of the family's 1533-position model. The record is from RNAcentral.